This 711-nucleotide ribosomal RNA is filed under the name uncultured bacterium. RNAcentral describes it as "bacterial SSU rRNA". It matches the Rfam family "Bacterial small subunit ribosomal RNA", at positions 62 to 788 of the family's 1533-position model. The record is from RNAcentral.
UCGAACGAAAAUCAGAAGCUUGCUCCUGUGGAUUAGUGGCGAAAGGGUGAGUAACGCGUGAACAACCUACCCUCGAAUCAGGAAUAACAGUUGGAAACAGCUGCUAAAACCGGAUGUAAUUAGUAAUUCGCAUGUUUUACUACUUAAAAAUUUAUUGUUCGAGGAUGGGUUCGCGUCCCAUUAGCUAGUUGGUGAGGUAACGGCUCACCAAGGCGACGAUGGGUAGCUGGUCUGAGAGGAUGAUCAGCCACACUGGGACUGAGACACUGCCCAGACUCCUACGGGAGGCUGCAGUCGAGAAUCUUCCGCAAUGCGCGAAAGCGUGACGGAGCGAUGCCGCGUGCAUGAUGAAGGCCUUCGGGUUGUAAAAUGCUGUCACUGGGGACGAAAUUUGACGGUACCCAGAGAGGAAGCCACGGCUAACUACGUGCCAGCAGCCGCGGUAAUACGUAGGUGGCGAGCGUUGUUCGGAUUUAUUGGGCGUAAAGGGUCCGUCGGCGGUCUGCUAAGUCUGAUGUGAAAUCCCGGGGCUCAACUCCGGAACUGCAUUGGAAACUGGUGGACUAGAGUAUCGGAGAGGUAAGCGGAAUACCUGGUGUAGCGGUGGAAUGCGUAGAUAUCAGGUAGAACACCAACAGCGAAGGCAGCUUACUGGACGAUUACUGACGCUCAGGGACGAAAGCGUGGGGAGCAAACAGGAUUAGAUACCCU